Molecule: ribosomal RNA, 253 nt
Filed under: uncultured bacterium
Lineage: Bacteria
Description: partial 16S ribosomal RNA
Rfam family: Bacterial small subunit ribosomal RNA
Source: RNAcentral
UACGGAGGAUGCAAGCGUUAUCCGGAAUGAUUGGGCGUAAAGGGUCCGCAGGUGGCAGUGUAAGUCUGCUGUCAAAGAAUGAGGCUUAACCUCAUCAAGGCAGUGGAAACUACACAGCUAGAGUACGGUCGGGGUAGAAGGAAUUCCUGGUGUAGCGGUGAAAUGCGUAGAUAUCCGAAAGAACACCGGUGGCGAAGGCGGCCUGCUGGGCUACUGCUGACACUGAUGCGCGACAGCGUGGGGAGCAAGCAGG